UCGCUUUGGCAGCACAUCUACUAAAAUUGGAACGAUACAGGUGAGAUGAGCUUGGUCCCAGAGCAAGGAUGGCAUGUAACUUUGUGAAGCAUUCCAUAUUUUU
This is a small nuclear RNA of Castor canadensis (American beaver), 103 nucleotides long. The record is from Ensembl. Lineage: Eukaryota; Metazoa; Chordata; Mammalia; Rodentia; Castoridae.